Molecule: ribosomal RNA, 450 nt
Filed under: uncultured bacterium
Lineage: Bacteria
Description: partial 16S ribosomal RNA
Rfam family: Bacterial small subunit ribosomal RNA
Source: RNAcentral
GUGGGGAAUCUUCCACAAUGGACGAAAGUCUGAUGGAGCAACGCCGCGUGAGUGAAGAAGGGUUUCGGCUCGUAAAGCUCUGUUGUCGGGGACGAAUGUGCAGUAUUUGAAUAAAGUACUGCAAUGACGGUACCUGACGAGGAAGCCACGGCUAACUACGUGCCAGCAGCCGCGGUAAUACGUAGGUGGCAAGCGUUGUCCGGAAUUAUUGGGCGUAAAGGGAGCGCAGGCGGGAAGGUAAGUCGGUCUUAAAAGUGCGGGGCUCAACCCCGUGAUGGGAUCGAAACUAUCUAUCCGGAGUGCAGGAGAGGAAAGUGGAAUUCCUAGUGUAGCGGUGAAAUGCGUAGAUAUUAGGAGGAACACCAGUGGCGAAGGCGACUUUCUGGACUGUAACUGACGCUGAGGCUCGAAAGCCAGGGGAGCGAACGGGAUUAGAAACCCGAGUAGUCC